GUACUUACCUGGCAGGGGAGAUACCACAAUCACAAAGGUGGUUUUCCCAGGGCGAGGCUUAUCCAUUGUACUCUGGGUGUGCUGACCCCUGCGAUUUCCCCAAAUGUGGGAAACUCAACUGCAUAAUUUAUGGUAGUGGGUGACUGCGUUUGCGCUUUCCCCUG
This 164-nucleotide small nuclear RNA is filed under the name Cebus imitator (Panamanian white-faced capuchin). RNAcentral describes it as "U1 spliceosomal RNA (ENSCCAG00000006749.1)". It matches the Rfam family "U1 spliceosomal RNA". Rfam says of the family: U1 is a small nuclear RNA (snRNA) component of the spliceosome (involved in pre-mRNA splicing). Its 5' end forms complementary base pairs with the 5' splice junction, thus defining the 5' donor site of an intron. The record is from Rfam by way of RNAcentral. Lineage: Eukaryota; Metazoa; Chordata; Mammalia; Primates; Cebidae.